UGAGAAUGUAGCUCAAUUGGUAGAGUGCUUGCCUCACAUGCACAAAGUCUUGGGUUCAAUCCCCAGCACCACAA
Molecule: transfer RNA, 74 nt
Filed under: Marmota monax (woodchuck)
Lineage: Eukaryota; Metazoa; Chordata; Mammalia; Rodentia; Sciuridae
Description: tRNA.Val
Rfam family: tRNA (bases 7-68)
About the family: Transfer RNA (tRNA) molecules are approximately 80 nucleotides in length.
Source: RNAcentral